UCCACCUGAAGACAGUUCGUCGUCAUCUUCUCCGACUAUUAGACGGUCUACCAGGGAAAGAAGACAACCAGCUUGGAUGCGGUCAGGUAAGUAUGAUACAUCGCAUUCAGCUAGUUUGGUCACAGAAAAGGAUUGGUACCAGAGAAUCCAGUGUAUUACGUCAUUAGCAGAAACCAACUUAUUUGAAGAUCUACAAACAGAAGCAGCAAAGACGAUUUUAGAUAUUGUUAAAACUCCACAGAGCAAAUGACGGGACGUCAUUUCAGAUCAGGGAGGAGUAUGUGCUAGCGUGUAUUUAUUCAUGAUUGAAUAAAUACUGAUAUGAUUUUGUAAUUUAUAUUUUAUUUCCUAUUUGAAUUUACUUUAAAUAAAGAUGAUUUUAUUCCUAAUGCAUAUUUGUGUUUUCGUUUUCAAAUAGAUUAAUUACGGAUUGUAAUUAAUUAUGAGUGGUACUAUUCGUAUUUUAUAUUUACGGACUUUGACGAUUGACUAGUUUGGCCUUGAUUGUUACUCACUUCUACUAUUCUGAUGGUCAGUGUUUUACGCUUGAUUUGACCGCACACUUUCUGCUAUUUCAUUGGUUAUAUAUCUUUUGGCGGUUUAUUUAUAUUAAGUCUUUAUUCAAUUGUGGAUUGAUGUUCAAACCGAACAGACGUUUCAUAUACUUUAUUUGCUGUUUCCUAUUUUGUAUCAUUUGUAUUGGAGGAAUUCCACGAUUGUUUCAGGUAUUUGACAGAGUUCUGCAUAUGAUGUAGAUACCCGUAGAGGCAUAACCUUUGUACCUCAUACGAGGGUUUCUUUUGAUGCUUCAUUGAUUAAUAAAACUAUCCAGAACCCUAUACAUAGUCAACUAUUAUUUACGCCCAGAUAGUGCGACUACAUUUCGUCAAAA
Molecule: long non-coding RNA, 892 nt
Organism: Mytilus trossulus (common blue mussel)
Lineage: Eukaryota; Metazoa; Mollusca; Bivalvia; Mytilida; Mytilidae
Exons: 3
Source: RefSeq, a predicted model, not a curated record